GGACUACCCGGGUAUCUAAUCCCGUUUGCUCCCCUGGCUUUCGCGCCUCAGCGUCAGUAGAGGUCCAGCGCGCCGCUUUCGCCACCGGUGUUCCUUCUGAUAUCUACGCAUUUCACCGCUCCACCAAAAGUUCCGCACGCCCCUACCUCCCUCGAGACGGCCAGUAUCAGGGGCACUUCCACGGUUGAGCCGCGGGAUUUCACCUCUGACUUGACCGCCCGCCUACGCGCCCUUUAAGCCCAGUGAUUCCGAACAACGUUUGCACGGUUCGUCUUACCGCGGCUGCUGGCAC
Molecule: ribosomal RNA, 292 nt
Filed under: uncultured bacterium
Lineage: Bacteria
Also listed under: 1 other name
Description: partial 16S ribosomal RNA
Source: RNAcentral